Molecule: long non-coding RNA, 1181 nt
Filed under: Mus spicilegus (steppe mouse)
Lineage: Eukaryota; Metazoa; Chordata; Mammalia; Rodentia; Muridae
Description: lncRNA (ENSMSIG00000006106.1)
Source: RNAcentral
UUGGUAGGGGUGGCAGUUCACAUGCUGGAGGCUUGAGUGUAGCAGCAUCUCUCUGUUCUGUUCCCGAGGCUUGCUUGUAUCCUGGCUGUUAGCAGGCUGGCAAGGCCAGUGCCUCCUACGACUUACCAUAUUCCCUCAGACUGAAGACUCAGCUAUGUGACCUCUGCCACUGGAGAAGGCUCUCUUGGUCCGGAGCCUUCCAUUGCUGCCUUGUGGGAGGUGUUUUGCAGCCCUGAAGCUCUUUAUGGACAGAGAGCACUGUGGCCUCAUUUCUAUAGCUUGUCCUCAGAGUACCUCUGAGCUCUCCUGAUGCAGCAGCCUGCCUUCAGAUUGAAAGUGUAGCUGCAGGCAGACACCAAGAACUAAUGUGGACCCCAAAGAACAAAAGGCCAUGUGUGCUCUUCUGGGCUGCAAAGCUAAUUAAGGACACCAAAUGUUUACAAAUUGCAAACAACAGAACAACAAAAAAAUAACCCUGCUUUGAUUCACAGAAAUUAAAAAAAGAAAGUCGGCUUCCAGUGCUCUGGGUCCUCUGCCCCAGUGUACCCCGUACAAGAUGUUCCAAUCUGGCUGGAAUCUCGUUUUCCUUCUUUGUAACCCCAGUGUCCAACACAACCAGGUUCAAUGUAAAUAGGAAAAAUCCUGCUUGGAGCAAAAGAGUUGAAACUCCCAUGAGGAAUGGUGUUCAGGCAACACGUUCCUUCUGCGUUCUCUUUUCCACACCGAGUUAGGACCGGAGAGAUGGAAUGUAACCAACCUGACACGCUGUCCAUUUAGGAGUGAGAUCUCCUAUUUUCUUAGAAACAGUGGUGGAAAAAGCCAAGAGACUCCAAAGAGGGCGAUUUCCUACAUGAUUCUGAUUUAUCUGGAGCCAGAAAAUCGAAGGAGAAUGUCGCCUGCGGAGACACGUGAACAACUGGAAUCACUGACAUCAUUCUUUUUGCUGUGACUAGCAUACAUUUUUAUCAAAUUAAACUACAGAGGCAUAGGCGUGCCUGAUGGAAGGGACCAGAGAAGAGUUUUAGAGUCUAAGAUAAUACUCGGUAAGGAGAUAUGAAGAGGUUUUAGGGUCUCAGAUCACAUCUGUAUAUCAGGAAGCAAUGAGUGUACGUGGGUACACUGGCAAGCACACACAUGCCUGCACACAACGCACACAUACACACAUGCAGGCACACACAUGC